UGGUUGAUCCUGCCAGUGGUAUAUGCUUGUCUCAAGGACUAAGCCAUGCAAGUCUAGGUAUGAGUGAUUGUACAACGAAACUGCGAAUGGCUCGGUAAAACAGCUAUAGUUUCUUCGACGCUAAACUACUCGGAUAACCGUAGUAAUUCUAGAGCUAAUACGUGCCCGAAGGCGAGUCCUCUCGUGGUAUAAGUUGGAGAUACAAACCAAUGUUUGGUGAUUCACAACUUCUUUUCUGAUUGGGUCUUUGACCCGACGCGUCGUUCAAAUUUCUGACCUAUCAACUUUGGAUGGUAGGGUAUUGUCCUACCAU
RNAcentral lists this ribosomal RNA (313 nucleotides) under Spyridia filamentosa. RNAcentral's name for it is "SSU rRNA". It matches the Rfam family "Eukaryotic small subunit ribosomal RNA", at positions 5 to 347 of the family's 1831-position model. The record is from RNAcentral. Lineage: Eukaryota; Rhodophyta; Florideophyceae; Ceramiales; Spyridiaceae.